UACGAAGGGGGCUAGCGUUGCUCGGAAUGACUGGGCGUAAAGGGUGCGUAGGUGGUUUAAUAAGUUAUCUGUGAAAUACCUGGGCUUAACCUGGGCAGGUCAGAUAAGACUGUUAGACUAGAGUAUGGGAGAGGGUAGAGGAAUUUCCGGUGUAGCGGUGAAAUGCGUAGAGAUCGGAAGGAACACCAGUGGCGAAGGCGUCUACCUGGCCUAAUACUGACACUGAGGCACGAAAGCGUGGGGAGCAAACAGG
This 253-nucleotide ribosomal RNA is filed under the name uncultured bacterium. Its description in RNAcentral is "partial 16S ribosomal RNA". It matches the Rfam family "Bacterial small subunit ribosomal RNA", at positions 524 to 776 of the family's 1533-position model. The record is from RNAcentral.